Molecule: unclassified non-coding RNA, 261 nt
Filed under: Glomeraceae sp.
Lineage: Eukaryota; Fungi; Glomeromycota; Glomeromycetes; Glomerales; Glomeraceae
Description: partial contains 5.8S ribosomal RNA and internal transcribed spacer 2
Rfam family: 5.8S ribosomal RNA (bases 1-71)
Source: RNAcentral
GUGAAUCAUCAAAUUUUUGAACGCAAAUUGCGCUUCCUAGCAUCCCGGGAAGUAUGCCUGUUUGAGGGUCAGUAUUAACAAAAUAGCUGUUUUUUUGCAAAUUGUGACUUUUCCGUCGUUUGGGCUAUCUUAACUUUUUUGGUUAAUGGGCUUAAAAUUGACCUUUUUUUCGCAUUUUUAGACAUUCAUAACUUUUUUUUUAUUCGUCUAUUCUUAAUGCCAAAAUCUUAUUAGAUGCGAUCACCUUGUAUAGCUUCGUGU